This is a small nucleolar RNA of Gossypium raimondii (Peruvian cotton), 106 nucleotides long. It matches the Rfam family "Plant small nucleolar RNA R71". Rfam says of the family: R71 is a member of the C/D box family of snoRNAs containing the C (UGAUGA) and D (CUGA) box motifs. Multiple nearly identical copies of this snoRNA have been identified in Arabidopsis, and it is thought to function as a 2'-O-ribose methylation guide for 18S ribosomal RNA. The record is from Rfam. NCBI's taxonomy places the organism in Eukaryota, Viridiplantae, Streptophyta, Magnoliopsida, Malvales, Malvaceae.
AAUUUGUGGUAUGGGCAUUUUUGAACCAGCAUUGUAAAAUGUUGCCAUGCCUCAUAGAAACUCUCUCUCUCCAUCUGCCUAAAGACAAAAAUCUCUUUUCUCAGUU